Molecule: ribosomal RNA, 493 nt
Filed under: uncultured bacterium
Lineage: Bacteria
Description: bacterial SSU rRNA
Rfam family: Bacterial small subunit ribosomal RNA
Source: RNAcentral
GGACGAACGCUGGCGGCGUGUUUAACACAUGCAAGUGGAGCGACGAACCGGGCUUGCCCCGGGGCAGAGCCGCGAACGGGUGAGUAACACGUGGGUAACCUGCCUCAAUGAUUGGGACAACCCGGGGAAACUCGGGCUAAUACCAAAUGUGUUCACUCCUUCUAAGGGGAGUGAGGAAAGGAAGCUUCGGCCUCCGCAUUGAGAUGGGCCCGCGGCCCAUUAGCUUGUUGGUGAGGUAACGGCUCACCAAGGCUUCGAUGGGUAGCUGGUCUGAGAGGACGAUCAGCCACACUGGGACUGAGACACGGCCCAGACUCCUACGGGAGGCAGCAGUGGGGAAUCUUGCACAAUGCGCGAAAGCGUGAUGCAGCAACGCCGCGUGGGGGAAGACGGCCUCCGGGUUGUAAACCCCUUUCAGUUGGGACGAAGCUUCGUCGGUGAAUAGCCGGUUGGAGUGACGGUACCUUCAGAAGAAGCCCCGGCUAACCACGUG